This is an RNA transcript of Salvia splendens (bonfire salvia), 1613 nucleotides long. RefSeq lists it as uncharacterized. Lineage: Eukaryota; Viridiplantae; Streptophyta; Magnoliopsida; Lamiales; Lamiaceae. The transcript has 8 exons. The record is from RefSeq and is a predicted model, not a curated record.
UAGAGAUAUGUUAUGUGAUUCCUUCUCCUUUGAUUCAGUAUUUAUUUUUAUGUUUGUCUUGUGGGAUCAAAAUAUUUAACUAUGUCUCUGUUGAACAGGCUGCAAGGGUAGGUUUUUGCUCGCAGAUAAACGACUCUUCUGACAUUGAGAGAGGAACAAGUAUCGCUAUUAAUAGAGGGGUUGAUUUAGCCAGAGCAGCUCUUCAUAUCGCAGCUGAAGAUGACUCCAUCAUCUCGCACUCUUCUGUUCCAUUGCCAGUUGAUGAUUUCAUCGAGAGAUUGGAUACCCUCUCUAUGGGAUUUUGCUCUCAAUACAGCUCAUCAUUUAGAUCCUCACCAGACAAUUUUCCUAUACCUCAAUAAAGUAAGUUACGCUCCUCUAUUAUGCACGACAUAGUUACUGUUGUUCUGUCUCCUCAUCUCUGAAUCAAUAAGAAACCCGGCUUUCAUGAAACCAUUAUGACUUCUUCUUCUUCUUCUUCAUGCCUUGAGAUAAUUGGUCUCUGUAAAUCUUCCUUCAUGAUGGCAUUAAUCAGAACCUGUACUGUAUAUUUAACGCUACUGUUCAGAGUGUCAACUGUAAUGUGGCGUUGUCCUUUCAGGGUUUUCGCCGUGCCCUGUAUCUCCAUUCAGUCUUAACACACCGUUCUGGCUCUCUUUCCAUGCACUCCCUUAUAUACUCAGAGAUUCUACAGAUGCUUCGAAUGUGGGUUGUUCUGAAUUUUGAUGUAGAAAUCUUCUUUCCCCGUGAUUCACAUAGUUCUCCCAGAGGGUAUCUAAAACAAAAAGAGCAAAGAUUCUGAUCAAUCACAUAUAUAUUAUGACAUCACAAUCUUUACUAGUGGAGAUACUGAAAGAUUUAAAGAAUGCUUUCUGGCCAUUUCAACUUGAUCAUGCUAGGAGUCCAUUCCUAAGGGCCGCAGACGCGGCUCGUUGCGUUACUGGUGCCAACAAUGCUAAUGAAAGGCUGCCCGCCAUCGGCUGCAACGAGGUGUUUGGACUAGUGUUCAUUUUGGAGAUAUGCGUCGUGCAUUAUCAGCAUGUGAACGCCUUAUUUUACUCAAGCAUGAUCCUAAGGAGCUAAGAGACUAUGCUGUACUCCUCUACCAUUGUGGAUAUUACGAGGAAGCGCUGCAGUUCCUUAAGCAUUACCAGAACACAAAGCAGCAAACUGGUUCGGACACCAAUGUCGAGGAAGAAGCCGCAGAGAAACUAGUAGUACGGCUGAACCUGAGUUUGAUGGAGGUUGGUUGGUCGGUCAAAACAACCGGAGCACAUAAAUAUAUCCUUUUCAAAAACUCUCAACCAUGCUUAUUUGGGUGUACUGGCCUUACACCAAAAGAAUCGGUACAAAAAUGGUAGCUAUAAAUACAACAAGAUGGAUCCAUCAUCAACCGUCUUCCGAGAAAACUCUGAAUAUGAAAUCCCUGAAGCGCUUGGAGUAUUGCUUGGGAUCCACAGCUGAGAUAGAGGAUGUCGAUGAUGCCAAAAAUGAGGACCACGUCGUAGUACUCCCCCGUCGGCUCUCCCACUAGCUGAGCCUCCCCAUUGUUUUUCCUUACUGUCAGCUCGGCUCGUGCAGGGAUGUUGGCACCUAGUUUGAACGUUGUCGAC